GAUGAACGCUGGCGGCGUGCUUAACACAUGCAAGUCGAACGGUGAAGCAGAGCUUGCUCUGUGGAUCAGUGGCGAACGGGUGAGUAACACGUGAGCAACCUGCCCCUGCCUCUGGGAUAAGCGCUGGAAACGGCGUCUAAUACUGGAUAUGAGCUGCGACCGCAUGGUCAGCAGUUGGAAAGAUUUUUCGGUCUGGGAUGGGCUCACGGCCUAUCAGCUUGUUGGUGAGGUAAUGGCUCACCAAGGCGUCGACGGGUAGCCGGCCUGAGAGGGUGACCGGCCACACUGGGACUGAGACACGGCCCAGACUCCUACGGGAGGCAGCAGUGGGGAAUAUUGCACAAUGGGCGAAAGCCUGAUGCAGCAACGCCGCGUGAGGGAUGACGGCCUUCGGGUUGUAAACCUCUUUUAGCAGGGAAGAAGCGAAAGUGACGGUACCUGCAGAAAAAGCGCCGGCUAACUACGUG
RNAcentral lists this ribosomal RNA (467 nucleotides) under uncultured bacterium. RNAcentral's name for it is "partial 16S ribosomal RNA". It matches the Rfam family "Bacterial small subunit ribosomal RNA", at positions 28 to 507 of the family's 1533-position model. The record is from RNAcentral.